RNAcentral lists this ribosomal RNA (450 nucleotides) under uncultured Methanolinea sp. Its description in RNAcentral is "bacterial SSU rRNA". It matches the Rfam family "Archaeal small subunit ribosomal RNA", at positions 890 to 1338 of the family's 1478-position model. The record is from RNAcentral. Lineage: Archaea; Methanobacteriati; Methanobacteriota; Methanomicrobia; Methanomicrobiales; Methanoregulaceae.
GGAGCCUGCGGUUUAAGUUGGACUCACGCCGGGCAGCUCACCGGAUAAGACAGCUGGAUGAUAGCCGGGCUGAAGACUCUGCUUGACUAGCUGAGAGGAGGUGCAUGGCCGUCGUCAGUUCGUACUGUGAAGCAUCCUGUUAAGUCAGGCGACGAGCGAGACCCACGCCAACAGUUGCCAGCAUGUCCUCCGGGAUGAUGGGGACACUGUUGGGACCGCCUCUGCUAAAGAGGAGGAAGGAAUGGGCAACGGUAGGUCAGCAUGCCCCGAAUUAUCCGGGCUACACGCGGGCUACAAUGGUCAGGACAAUGGGUAUCGACACCGAGAGGGUGGAGGCAAUCUCCUAAACCUGUCCUUAGUUCGGAUUGUGGGCUGCAACUCGCCCACAUGAAGCUGGAAUCGCUAGUAAUCGCGGAUCAGCAUGCCGCGGUGAAUACGUUCCCGGGCCUU